Molecule: ribosomal RNA, 490 nt
Filed under: uncultured bacterium
Lineage: Bacteria
Description: partial 16S ribosomal RNA
Rfam family: Bacterial small subunit ribosomal RNA
Source: RNAcentral
AUUGAACGCUGGCGGCAGGCCUAACACAUGCAAGUCGAACGGUAACAGGAAACAGCUUGCUGUUUCGCUGACGAGUGGCGGACGGGUGAGUAAUGUCUGGGAAACUGCCUGAUGGAGGGGGAUAACUACUGGAAACGGUAGCUAAUACCGCAUAACGUCGCAAGACCAAAGAGGGGGACCUUCGGGCCUCUUGCCAUCGGAUGUGCCCAGAUGGGAUUAGCUAGUAGGUGGGGUAACGGCUCACCUAGGCGACGAUCCCUAGCUGGUCUGAGAGGAUGACCAGCCACACUGGAACUGAGACACGGUCCAGACUCCUACGGGAGGCAGCAGUGGGGAAUAUUGCACAAUGGGCGCAAGCCUGAUGCAGCCAUGCCGCGUGUAUGAAGAAGGCCUUCGGGUUGUAAAGUACUUUCAGCGGGGAUGAAGGGAGUAAAGUUAAUACCCUUGCUCAUUGACGUUACCCGCAGAAGAAGCACCGGCUAACUCCGUG